RNAcentral lists this small RNA (727 nucleotides) under Pongo abelii (Sumatran orangutan). Its description in RNAcentral is "retained intron". Lineage: Eukaryota; Metazoa; Chordata; Mammalia; Primates; Hominidae. The record is from RNAcentral.
GCCACGCAGAAAAAGGAGGGGUUGAAAAGGGAGUAGCCAUCUGAUAUCUAGUCAGCAUGAAUUGGCCUUCGGUUCCCUGCCACCCGACCCUUUUCUCCUGCCUCUUACUGCUCUAGUGAUACCACUUAUGCUAUUGUCUAUGGCAGGUUUAUUUGUAUCUAUCCUGCUUAUUUAAAUAAUAAGAAGACCAUCGCAGAGGGAAGGCGAAUCCCCAUAAGUAAGGCUGUUGAAAAUCCUACAGCUACAGAGAUUCAAGAUGUAUGUUCAGCAGUUGGACUUAACGUAUUUCUUGAGAAAAAUAAAAUGUACUCUAGAGAAUGGAAUCGUGAUGUCCAAUACAGAGGCAGAGUCCGGGUCCAGCUCAAACAGGAAGAUGGCAGCCUCUGCCUUGUACAGUUCCCAUCACGUAAGUCAGUAAUGUUGUAUGCAGCAGAAAUGAUACCUAAACUAAAAACAAGGACACAAAAAACAGGAGGUGCUGACCAAAGUCUUCAACAAGGAGAGGGAAGUAAAAAAGGGAAAGGAAAGAAAAAGAAGUAACCUAGUAUCAGCAUCAAGUAUGUGGUACUACUGUAAGAGACAUGAAUGGAGACUUCUAAUUUGUAUCGGAGGGAAACAGAAGCUUUUUGUUCGCAUCAUUUAACUGAACUGUGAACCCUCGUGCCUCUCAUCUUUAUCAUCGGAGUUGACAGUGAAACAGAUUUACAUCAGAAGUUUGCGUCUCGCU